AACUAUACCAGCUGGACGCCCUCGACGUCUCUCUUCUGAGUUGUUGGAUUUUAAUGGAGAUUCAAAGAGCCCGACGGCGGGGGGGUUUUCGAUACUGGAUUCAUCGACCCUUGGAAAGUAAACGUCGAAAUGAUCACCAAGUAUCUGCAAGCCACAAGCCACAGAGGACAAUCUCGUCCAUCUCCUAAAGGAGCAGCAUUCCAAGACGUUCAUACUAUUGCCGUACGACACAGAGUUAGUUUUUACUGUCUUCCGAACAAAUUCCAUUCCCGUACAUACAUGCUAAGUGUUUCAUAUGUCAUGCAUCUCACGCACAUUGUAGAUUCCACUGGGUCCUUUUACUCUUCGACUUGGAGGCAUGCAGAGUCAAUGUCUAUGACUCAAUGAAUAAAAAAGAGUCUACUUUUGACAAGGUUUUUGAACUUAUAGACAGGGCUUGGUAUCGGUUCCGUCAUUUGGUCUGCAACAAUUGGAAAGAAAAACUUAGGCAGAGGUUCAAAUUUCCUGCGAGUACAUGCUCUACAUUUAUAUUGAAUCUCUAACUCAAAUAUAAAUGUAUAUUAAUUAAAUCUCUUGCCGUUUGUCAUGUAUAUAUAGUGUGCAAAGCAAGACCAGGGAACUAACUUGUGCGGCUACUACGUAUGCGAGUAUUGCCACUGCCUUACAACCCAAAUCUACACCACAA
Oryza sativa Japonica Group (Japanese rice) is the source of this 685-nucleotide non-coding RNA. The record is from RefSeq and is a predicted model, not a curated record. Lineage: Eukaryota; Viridiplantae; Streptophyta; Magnoliopsida; Poales; Poaceae.